GUACUGCUGAGGAGUCCCAUACAAGGAUAAAAUGGCCGUCCACUGCUUACAGGUUUUCAAUGGUGGUCUUACAUUCACUGACUCAUGAUCUCAAUCAAAAACUUAACAAUUUCCACAACCCCACACUGUUGAGUAUAAAUGUCACUACGUGCAUUAUUUAUUUGAAUCGUUUUCACAGAAAACUGUGUAUUUUGUUACAAAAGGUUAAAUGUAAUAAAAGUAAAGCGCUCGCGCGCGAGACCGAUAGGUCUUGGGUUCGAAUCUCACGAAGCGGGAUGGUGGACGCGCAGUGUUGAGGAUUCCCACAAUAGGACGAAACGGCCGUCUAGUGC
Molecule: non-coding RNA, 332 nt
Filed under: Schistosoma mansoni
Lineage: Eukaryota; Metazoa; Platyhelminthes; Trematoda; Strigeidida; Schistosomatidae
Source: RNAcentral